Molecule: long non-coding RNA, 501 nt
Organism: Callithrix jacchus (white-tufted-ear marmoset)
Lineage: Eukaryota; Metazoa; Chordata; Mammalia; Primates; Cebidae
Source: RefSeq, a predicted model, not a curated record
ACGCCUGCGCCUUCAUAGUCCCAGCAUACGUACAGCGCGCACACCACUACGCCAUACGUUACGUUAGCGGAAGUUUCACGGCACCAUUGGUGUAAUGUGUGGCCAAUAAACGGCAAGAAUAAAGCGGAUUCCUCCUUCUUCCCGACGAACUGGAUACGUUCCGCUAAUAAUGUGGUCCGUCAGUUUCAGCAUUUAGACGCUCGAGUUUCCACCGAGUCAGAAGACGAGGUCUCACUAUGUUGCUCAGGUUGGUCUCAAACUCCUGACCUCAAGCGAUCGUCCCACCUGGGCCUCCCAAAACGCUGGAAUUACAGAUGCAGUCUUGUUUUGUCACCCAGACUGGAACGUGGCGGCAUGAUCAUCGCUCACUGCAACCUCCACCUCCGGGGUUAAAGUGAUCCUCCCACCUCAGCUUCCCAAGUUAGGUUUUAAAUCUAGAAUAAAUAAUUCCUUGUUAACAAGAAUAAAAUUGUUUUGCCAAUACAAAAUUUUUGUCAUAUA